UGAGCAAUCUGCCCUUCUCAUCGGAAUAAGCGUUGGAAACGACGUCUAAUGCCGAAUACGACCUCCUUUCGCAUGAUCGGAGGUGGAAAGCUCCGGCGGAGAAGGAUGAGCUCGCGGCCUAUCAGCUAGUUGGUGUGGGUAAUGGCCCACAAGGCGACGACGGGUAGCCGGCCUGAGAGGGUGACCGGCCACACGUGGGACUGAGACACGGCCCAGACUCCGUACGGG
Molecule: ribosomal RNA, 228 nt
Filed under: uncultured bacterium
Lineage: Bacteria
Description: partial 16S ribosomal RNA
Rfam family: Bacterial small subunit ribosomal RNA
Source: RNAcentral